Long non-coding RNA from Pezoporus occidentalis (night parrot), 494 nucleotides. RefSeq lists it as uncharacterized. The record is from RefSeq and is a predicted model, not a curated record. The transcript is spliced from 3 exons. Lineage: Eukaryota; Metazoa; Chordata; Aves; Psittaciformes; Psittacidae.
GGCUUUUUGAGCCUGGGAGAUGUGAGGCAGAGGUGUUGUGAUGGCAGCAGCUGAAGCUCACUAAAAUGCAGUCAGAUGCAGAUGCAUGUUCCUACCCUGAGCCGGCUGCGUGCCAGCCCAUAACCUGUAGCUCAAGCUCAGUGCCAUGUGGAUCUCCAUCCUGCCUUUGGGUAGUAGAUGCUCUGAGCGUGAAUCCAUUCAGGCCAUCCCAGUACUAGGUGUGAAAGGUGCCCGAGGUCACUUGGAGACAAGAAGACAUAAGGAAUACAUCUCUCUAGGUUUAUUAAAGCUGUUGUCAUCUCCUGUGGGUCCAGGACUAGCAUCUAUCAAUCACAGACGUGGCUUGGCCUUUGGACCUCAGGGCUUUAUUUUAUUUGCUACUGCUGCAGAAAGGCACAUCCAUAGGCAAAACUUCCUGGGAACCAUUGGCCCCAUUCUCCUGCUCCAUGGUGGGAACAGGACAAACCCUUUCAGGGGGUGACAAAGUGCAGAGG